UACAGAGGGGGCAAGCGUUGUUCGGAAUUACUGGGCGUAAAGGGCGCGUAGGCGGCCAAUUAAGUCCGACGUGAAAUCCCCAGGCUUAACCUGGGAACUGCGUCGGAUACUGAUUGGCUUGAAUCCGGGAGAGGGAUGCGGAAUUCCAGGUGUAGCGGUGAAAUGCGUAGAUAUCUGGAGGAACACCGGUGGCGAAGGCGGCAUCCUGGACCGGCAUUGACGCUGAGGCGCGAAAGCCAGGGGAGCAAACGGG
This 253-nucleotide ribosomal RNA is filed under the name uncultured bacterium. Its description in RNAcentral is "partial 16S ribosomal RNA". It matches the Rfam family "Bacterial small subunit ribosomal RNA", at positions 524 to 776 of the family's 1533-position model. The record is from RNAcentral.